Molecule: long non-coding RNA, 371 nt
Organism: Rhinolophus ferrumequinum (greater horseshoe bat)
Lineage: Eukaryota; Metazoa; Chordata; Mammalia; Chiroptera; Rhinolophidae
Exons: 3
Source: RefSeq, a predicted model, not a curated record
AAAAUUUCACUUACCAUGCUUUAGUUUGGGGGAAAUUAUUUCAGAGGUAAAAUUUGUCACUGAACUUGAAGAAAUGAUUUCUUAAACAAAGAUGGGAAACUGAGCCACAAAGAAUCUAGCAAGUUGCCUCUAUCAAGGGACACAGCUGGGAUUUAAUUCAAAGUAUUGUAUACUCCAGAGUUUUGCUUUGAGGAAACUCCUUUGAGGAAUGUACCUGAGACAGCAACAAAUCAGAGUGAUGUCUGAGGUCAUGCAAAUUUCUGACACAUUUUGGAAAAAAAACUUGAAAUCAAUUAAUGCAGCGGAAGAGUUAAGGAUGAUCUCCACUUUAUUGACUGUGUAGAUGCAUGACCAAUGUGAUGUACAAUUGA